This 640-nucleotide ribosomal RNA is filed under the name Thiomicrospira sp. Tms-MPN/Milos-BI4. Its description in RNAcentral is "bacterial SSU rRNA". It matches the Rfam family "Bacterial small subunit ribosomal RNA", at positions 151 to 784 of the family's 1533-position model. The record is from RNAcentral. Lineage: Bacteria; Pseudomonadati; Pseudomonadota; Gammaproteobacteria; Thiotrichales; Piscirickettsiaceae.
UGGAAACGUAUGCUAAUACCGAAUAUGCUCUACGGAGUAAAGGAGCCCUCUUCUUGAAAGGUUUCGCUAUAGGAUGAGCCCGCGUGAGAUUAGCUAGUUGGUAAGGUAAUGGCUUACCAAGGCAACGAUCUCUAGCUGGUUUGAGAGGAUGAUCAGCCACACUGGGACUGAGACACGGCCCAGACUCCUACGGGAGGCAGCAGUGGGGAAUAUUGCACAAUGAGCGAAAGCUUGAUGCAGCCAUACCGCGUGUGUGAAGAAGGCCCGAGGGUUGUAAAGCACUUUCAAUUGUGAGGAAGAUAGUGUCGCUAAUAUCGGCAUUGUUUGACGUUAACUUUAGAAGAAGCACCGGCUAACUCUGUGCCAGCAGCCGCGGUAAUACAGAGGGUGCAAGCGUUAUUCGGAAUUACUGGGCGUAAAGCGCGCGUAGGCGGGCUAUUAAGUCAGUUGUGAAAGCCCUGGGCUCAACCUGGGAACUGCAUCUGAUACUGGUAGUCUAGAGUUUAAGAGAGGGAAGUGGAAUUCCAGGUGUAGCAGUGAAAUGCGUAGAUAUCUGGAGGAACAUCAGUGGCGAAGGCGACUUCCUGGCUUAAAACUGACGCUGAGGUGCGAAAGCGUGGGUAGCGAACGGGAUUAGAUA